CGCUGUCUGCCCGUCGCGAGAAGUCCACUGAACCUUAUCAUUUAGAGGAAGGAGAAGUCGUAACAAGGUUUCCGUAGGUGAACCUGCGGAAGGAUCAUUG
This 100-nucleotide ribosomal RNA is filed under the name Phylica humilis. Its description in RNAcentral is "partial 18S ribosomal RNA". It matches the Rfam family "Eukaryotic small subunit ribosomal RNA", at positions 1732 to 1831 of the family's 1831-position model. Lineage: Eukaryota; Viridiplantae; Streptophyta; Magnoliopsida; Rosales; Rhamnaceae. The record is from RNAcentral.